AGUGAACGCUGGCGGUGGACCUAACAUAUGCAAGUCGAACGGCAGCACAGUAAGAGCUUGCUCUUACGGGUGGCGAGUGGCGGACGGGUGAGGAAUACAUCGGAAUCUACUUUUUCGUGGGGGAUAACGUAGGGAAACUUACGCUAAUACCGCAUACGACCUACGGGUGAAAGCAGGGGAUCUUCGGACCUUGCGCGAUUGAAUGAGCCGAUGUCGGAUUAGCUAGUUGGCGGGGUAAAGGCCCACCAAGGCGACGAUCCGUAGCUGGUCUGAGAGGAUGAUCAGCCACACUGGAACUGAGACACGGUCCAGACUCCUACGGGAGGCAGCAGUGGGGAAUAUUGGACAAUGGGCGCAAGCCUGAUCCAGCCAUACCGCGUGGGUGAAGAAGGCCUUCGGGUUGUAAAGCCCUUUUGUUGGGAAAGAAAAGCAGCAGGUUAAUACCCCGCUGUUCUGACGGUACCCAAAGAAUAAGCACCGGCUAACUUCGUG
RNAcentral lists this ribosomal RNA (492 nucleotides) under uncultured bacterium. Its description in RNAcentral is "partial 16S ribosomal RNA". It matches the Rfam family "Bacterial small subunit ribosomal RNA", at positions 29 to 507 of the family's 1533-position model. The record is from RNAcentral.